Molecule: ribosomal RNA, 458 nt
Filed under: uncultured bacterium
Lineage: Bacteria
Description: partial 16S ribosomal RNA
Rfam family: Bacterial small subunit ribosomal RNA
Source: RNAcentral
CCUACGGGAGGCAGCAGUGGGGAAUAUUGCACAAUGGGGGAAACCCUGAUGCAGCGACGCCGCGUGAGUGAAGAAGUAAUUCGUUACGUAAAGCUCUAUCAGCAGGGAAGAAACACUGACCUUACGGUCAGCAGACGGUACCUGAGUAAGAAGACCCGGCUAACUACGUGCCAGCAGCCGCGGUAAUAAGUAGGGGGCAAGCGUUAUCCGGAUUUACUGGGGGUAAAGGGAGCGUAGACGGUGCGACAAGGAUGGAGUGAAAUGCCGGAGCCUAACUGCGGAACUGCUUUGGAAACUGGCGAACUAGAGUGCGGGAGAGGUAAGCGGAAUGCCUAGUGUAGCGGUGAAAUGCGUAGAUAUUAGGAGGAACACCGGUGGCGAAGGCGGCUUACUGGACCGUAACUGACGUUGAGGCUCGAAAGCGUGGGGAGCAAACAGGAUUAGAUACCCGUGUAGUC